AUGGUGUUGCUUGACAUUAGGGGUAUGUUGCAGUCCAUGGGUAAAGACAUUAUUGAUUUUGCUCUUCCAACGAUCGAUGAUGCGUUUGACCCAACCAAGGGCAAGGCCAGAGAGAUCAUCGAGGAAUCAACCAUUGAGUUUGACGAAAGUGACACUAAAUUGUCAUCUUCCCUGAAUUUUGAGCAAAGGGCCGCAUACGAUGAGAUACUAGCUGCUGUUGAACGCGUUGAUGGGGGUGUAUUCUUUGUUGAUGGCCCUGGAGGUACGGGGAAGACCUUCCUCUACAGGGCGAUGCUCGGCAAGGUGAGGAGCGAGGGCAAGAUUGCUAUCACUACCGCGAUGUCGGGCAUCGCUGCUUCUAUCAUGCCUGGCGGCAGGACUGCCCACUCGAGGUUCAAAAUCCCAUUG
Molecule: ribosomal RNA, 408 nt
Filed under: Triticum aestivum (bread wheat)
Lineage: Eukaryota; Viridiplantae; Streptophyta; Magnoliopsida; Poales; Poaceae
Description: partial small subunit ribosomal RNA
Source: RNAcentral